AAAAAUAAAAAAAAGAGAAAGAAAGAAAAAAAAGCCUGAACCGAGAAUGAAAAGAGAGGUUCGUGGUUUCUUAUAUAGAUUGAACUACAUGUCAUGGUUCACAUCUCAUCUAAUAACCACGGGUGAAUCCAUAUUCAAGCUGUUGAAAAAAAAGAUCAAACGGUCAGGUAAAAUAAUGAUUGCCAAGGGGCAUUGAAAAAAUAAAAGGAAAAGUUGCAGG
RNAcentral lists this long non-coding RNA (220 nucleotides) under Lathyrus oleraceus (garden pea). Its description in RNAcentral is "Pisum sativum (pea) long non-coding RNA (PSAT_LNC041062)". The record is from RNAcentral. Lineage: Eukaryota; Viridiplantae; Streptophyta; Magnoliopsida; Fabales; Fabaceae.